This 429-nucleotide ribosomal RNA is filed under the name Gemmatimonadota bacterium. RNAcentral's name for it is "Gemmatimonadetes bacterium partial 16S ribosomal RNA". It matches the Rfam family "Bacterial small subunit ribosomal RNA", at positions 355 to 776 of the family's 1533-position model. The record is from RNAcentral. Lineage: Bacteria; Pseudomonadati; Gemmatimonadota.
UAGGGAAUCUUCGGCAAUGGACGAAAGUCUGACCGAGCAACGCCGCGUGAGUGAAGAAGGUUUUCGGAUCGUAAAACUCUGUUGUUAGAGAAGAACAAGGACGUUAGUAACUGAACGUCCCCUGACGGUAUCUAACCAGAAAGCCACGGCUAACUACGUGCCAGCAGCCGCGGUAAUACGUAGGUGGCAAGCGUUGUCCGGAUUUAUUGGGCGUAAAGCGAGCGCAGGCGGUUUCUUAAGUCUGAUGUGAAAGCCCCCGGCUCAACCGGGGAGGGUCAUUUGAAACUGGUAGACUUGAGUGCAGAAGAGGAGAGUGGAAUUCCAUGUGUAGCGGUGUAAUGCGUAGAUAUAUGGAGGAACACCAGUGGCGAAGACGGCUCUCUGGUCUGUAACUGACGCUGAGGAUCGAAAGCGUGGGGAGCAAACAGG